AUGCCUCCUUCCCGAUGGAGCUACGCCGCCGCCGCGUGCAGGAAGUCCAUCGCCUCCACCCCAGGCCGUUCAAUGCCAUCGUCGUGGACGUGCCCCGCUCUAACACCAUGGAUUGCGAUUGAGCGGCAAACAAUGGAGCCUGCAGAAGGAGCCGCGGGGUCGAGGACCUCCAGUUCGUCAGUCCAACAAAAGGGUCAACGACGGUCGCCGCUCCUCGACCCUAUUCUCGUUCGUCACCCAGCUCAACAGUCCACCUCGGUGCUCCACCACCGGUCCCUCGAAGAGCUGGCUGCAGGCCAUCCAUUGCUCCGCCCUGGAUGCUGCCAUGUGGUGGCUGGCCGUCUCACUCCAAUGCACCUCCCUCUCUUUGUGUACUGGUCUCUCUCAAGACUGGAAGUUAUCCCUGAUGUACUCAACACAAGUUCAACAUCAUCAUCUAAAAAGGAAGCAAAAAAGAAAAUCUAUUUACUCACGGAUGCAGACAAAUUUCCGGAGCACAAUAGACUCAUCGGCGCAUGA
This 519-nucleotide ribosomal RNA is filed under the name Triticum aestivum (bread wheat). Its description in RNAcentral is "partial small subunit ribosomal RNA". The record is from RNAcentral. Lineage: Eukaryota; Viridiplantae; Streptophyta; Magnoliopsida; Poales; Poaceae.